This 825-nucleotide long non-coding RNA is filed under the name Vulpes vulpes (red fox). RNAcentral's name for it is "lncRNA (ENSVVUG00000016861.1)". The record is from RNAcentral. Lineage: Eukaryota; Metazoa; Chordata; Mammalia; Carnivora; Canidae.
GGGCCAAUCAGAACCUGCCGGGGGGUCUCUAUGCUGACCGGAAGUGGGUCUGUUACCCGGGGGCCAUCUUGCCGCUCGAGGUGCCGAGCCUUAGAGACGCGGGUCCCCGGGGGUCGAGGAAGGGGAGGCAGCUGUCGGUCACCGAGCUCCCGGGCGCAGGCCAGCCCGAGACCAGGCCCUAGAACCUUCCAGAUGCCGGUGUAUGUAUCGGGCCGCGGAGGUUGGGUCUCCCGCGGCUGGGCAUCAUCGCGCAUGCGCGGCCGGGCCAUGGCUGCCGCUCCGCAGAGCCGCGGAAACAUCUUCCAGUCCUGUGGGCAGCACGUGAGGCUGAGCUCUCCGCGGCCCGUGCUCGUCGUCAUCUGUCCGUCUGAGGCCGUUUUCCUCGGUGUUCUGCAGUGGAGGCUUCCCUCUGCCCGGCCUCCCGAGUCGCAGCCUCACCCCAGCAGACCUCCCAGACCCAGACGGCGAAGGAUGCAAAUGGCACAUAGGACCGGACGGCACUGUUUUCUUAUUUGGGGGUGCCAGCUCCUGCACUUUCCUACCGGGUUUCCUAGCACCCUGAGGAUCCCCAGGAAGCAGCCAGGCCAGAGCUGCCUCCAGCAGGAGCUGCUGAUGCUGUGGGAAACUGGGCUUCUCUGGAAGCAGCCAGGCCGGGGUGCAGUCCCACCCCCAGCCCAGGAGGCUGGCUGGAGGAGGCUGGCCCAGCGCGGCCCUUGUGGCCUCAGCCAGCCUGUCUACACUGCGGUCCCUCCUCCAGGACCAGAGCCCCUGUCGGAGGUAGGGGGCCUUCCUGGCUCUGCAGGCUGUGGAGUUGGCUCCAUGUGA